RNAcentral lists this ribosomal RNA (465 nucleotides) under uncultured bacterium. Its description in RNAcentral is "partial 16S ribosomal RNA". It matches the Rfam family "Bacterial small subunit ribosomal RNA", at positions 28 to 507 of the family's 1533-position model. The record is from RNAcentral.
GACGAACGCUGGCGGCGUGCUUAACACAUGCAAGUCGUACGGUAAGGCCCUUUCGGGGGUACACGAGUGGCGAACGGGUGAGUAACACGUGAGUAACCUGCCCACAACUUUGGGAUAACGCUAGGAAACUGGUGCUAAUACUGGAUAUGUGCUCCUGCUGCAUGGUGGGGGUUGGAAAGCUCCGGCGGUUGUGGAUGGACUCGCGGCCUAUCAGCUUGUUGGUGGGGUAGUGGCCUACCAAGGCGGCGACGGGUAGCCGGCCUGAGAGGGUGACCGGCCACAUUGGGACUGAGAUACGGCCCAGACUCCUACGGGAGGCAGCAGGGGGGAAGAUUGCACAAUGGGCGCAAGCCUGAUGCAGAAACGCCGCGUGCGGGAUGACGGCCUUCGGGUUGUAAACCGCUUUCAGCAGGGACGAAGCUUUUUGUGACGGUACCUGCAGAAGAAGCACCGGCUAACUACGUG